GGAAUUUUGCACAAUGGGGGAAACCCUGAUGCAGCAACGCCGCGUGAAGGAUGAAGGUUUUCGGAUUGUAAACUUCUUUUAUUAAGGACGAAAAUUGACGGUACUUAAUGAAUAAGCUCCGGCUAACUACGUGCCAGCAGCCGCGGUAAAACGUAGGUCACAAGCGUUGUCCGGAAUUACUGGGUGUAAAGGGAGCGCAGGCGGGAAGACAAGUUGGAAGUGAAAUCCAUGGGCUCAACCCAUGAACUGCUUUCAAAACUGUUUUUCUUGAGUAGUGCAGAGGUAGGCGGAAUUCCCGGUGUAGCGGUGGAAUGCGUAGAUAUCGGGAGGAACACCAGUGGCGAAGGCGGCCUACUGGGCACCAACUGACGCUGAGGCUCGAAAGUGUGGAUAGCAAACAGGAUUAGAUACCCUGGUAGUCCACACUGUAAACGAUGAUUACUAGGUGUUGGAGGAUUGACCCCUUCAGUGCCGCAGUUAACACAAUAAGUAAUCCACCUGGGGAGUACGACCGCAAGGUUGAAACUCAAAGGAAUUGACGGGGGCCCGCACAAGCAGUGGAGUAUGUGGUUUAAUUCGAAGCAACGCGAAGAACCUUACCAGGUCUUGACAUCCGAUGAAUAGCUUAGAGAUAAGUGAAGUCCUUCGGGACAUCGAGACAGGUGGUGCAUGGUUGUCGUCAGCUCGUGUCGUGAGAUGUUGGGUUAAGUCCCGCAACGAGCGCAACCCUUAUUGUUAGUUGCUACGCAAGAGCACUCUAGCGAGACUGCCGUUGACAAAACGGAGGAAGGCGGGGACGACGUCAAAUCAUCAUGCCCCUUAUGUCCCGGGCUACACACGUAAUACAAUGGCGGUCAACAGAGGGAAGCAAAGCCGCGAGGCAGAGCAAACCCCUAAAAGCCGUCUCAGUUCGGAUUGCAGGCUGCAACUCGCCUGCAUGAAGUUGGAAUUGCUAGUAAUCGUGGAUCAGCAUGCCACGGUGAAUACGUUCCCG
Molecule: ribosomal RNA, 994 nt
Filed under: uncultured bacterium
Lineage: Bacteria
Description: bacterial SSU rRNA
Rfam family: Bacterial small subunit ribosomal RNA
Source: RNAcentral